UACGUAGGGGGCUAGCGUUGUCCGGAAUCAUUGGGCGUAAAGAGCGCGUAGGCGGCCCGGUAAGUCCGCUGUGAAAGUCGGGGGCUCAACCCUCGAAUGCCGGUGGAUACUGGCGGGCUAGAGUGCGGAAGAGGCGAGUGGAAUUCCUGGUGUAGCGGUGAAAUGCGCAGAUAUCAGGAGGAACACCGAUUGCGAAGGCAGCUCGCUGGGACGUUACUGACGCUGAGACGCGAAAGCGUGGGGAGCAAACAGG
Molecule: ribosomal RNA, 253 nt
Filed under: uncultured bacterium
Lineage: Bacteria
Description: partial 16S ribosomal RNA
Rfam family: Bacterial small subunit ribosomal RNA
Source: RNAcentral